This 547-nucleotide long non-coding RNA is filed under the name Malus domestica (apple). RNAcentral describes it as "long non-coding RNA (MDOM_LNC011838)". Lineage: Eukaryota; Viridiplantae; Streptophyta; Magnoliopsida; Rosales; Rosaceae. The record is from RNAcentral.
UCGUUGUUCACCAGGUGGAAGAAUCCGUGCCGGACCCUCGGCAUCCUCUGCACCAGUCCCCGACCAAAGUGGUUGAAGGCCAAAGUAAUUUGCAUGAUUUUGUCUUGAGUGUGCGCGUUGUUGGCGCCAAACAACAUCACCUGCAUGCAUGCAUGAUUUUCAAAUUCUGUACGCACCAUUAAUUAUUAGGUUAAUUAGUUUAAGGUUAAAGUAAUUCCAAUUUAAGUACAUCAUCGUGGUCAGUGAAGUGGGAGUUGGAGAUGGUGAUGGCGGUGGAAGCCAUGACGGCAUCGAUGAGCCCAUCUGCGCACCGGGACAUGGACAUGUGGUCGAUCCAGACGUUGGAGGCACCAAAGAGGGAGAUACCAUCGCCGUCACUCUUGGUCCUCAAACCCAUAUGGUCGACGGAGUCCCUGAUCAUACCACCGGGUUUGGACACAAUCAUUUUGAUGUGAAGGUUGGUGAGGAUUACAUUCUUCACAAACUGGAGGGUAAUGCCACCACCCUCUUCUAUCACAACAUUGGCUCCUCUACCAUCAAUGGUCUU